Molecule: long non-coding RNA, 794 nt
Organism: Carassius carassius (crucian carp)
Lineage: Eukaryota; Metazoa; Chordata; Actinopteri; Cypriniformes; Cyprinidae
Exons: 3
Source: RefSeq, a predicted model, not a curated record
AAUUACAACUUCUUUUGUCAUGCUUAUCUUUUUGCUCUUUUUGGAUAUCCCAGGAUUUUUUAAUUUUGAAUCCAGACUGUGCUUCAAAACUCACAGAAAAUUGGAUACCUGUGUUUAAGGAUAAGAUUCUACAGUUUGCCAGCAAAGAGAAACAAGCUCUUGAACUACUUCAAAACAUUGAAAUGAUGUCAGCAGAGAGACAGAGUGACUUUGCUGUGCAAGUCCUGCCAAUAGUCCUUCCAACACGUGUACAAAAUGGGCAGAAAAAUGUGCAGACCAACUUUCCUAGAAACCAGGAAGGCCUUCAUAGACAUACAGCCUAUUGGGACCAAUAUGGCUGAGUAUCUGCUUUCAAAAGAGUCCACUGAAUUCCCUUACAUUCUCAUGCUUGGAGACAACCAGUGCUUUCAAGCCUUCACCAUUAUAAAUGGUGCAGCACUUCAGCAAAGUACAUUACUGGCUGCACUGGAUGUUUGCUUUAAAGCAUUCUACAUCUUUGAUAUAAACUACCCCAAGCAGUGUUCCCUGGUGUGGCAGUUUCUACAGACUGUGGUGUAUGGACUUCCUGGGGAGGAGACACCAGCAGUAAGAGUUCUGCGAGCAUUCAUUUUUGCAGACAAACUGUAACUUAUUUAUUUACUUUUUAUUUUUAUUUUUUUUAUUAGUGUGACCUGACUGCUUUAUUGGAUUCUGUGUUCUUUAACUUGCACACUGUUACAUGAAAUGUUUACAUAUUUCAUAUAUUUAAUUCUAUUUUUCUUAUACAACAUUACAAUUACAUUGCAAUUGAUGAG